AGCUCCAUAAGGAGUUAGGUGUUCAGGAGCUUCAUAAGAAGGUAGGUGUUAAGGAGCUUCAUAAGGAGUUAGGUGUUCAGGAGCUUCAUAAGGAGUUAGGUGUUCAGGAGCUUCAUAAGGAGUUAGGUGUUGAGGAGCUUCAUAAGGAGUUAGGUGUUCAGGAGCUUCAUGAGGAGUUAGGUGUUCAGGAGCUUCAUACGGAGUUAGG
This is a long non-coding RNA of Dreissena polymorpha, 208 nucleotides long. RefSeq lists it as uncharacterized. The record is from RefSeq and is a predicted model, not a curated record. Lineage: Eukaryota; Metazoa; Mollusca; Bivalvia; Myida; Dreissenidae. The transcript has 3 exons.